AAUCAACGCUGGCGGCGUGCCUCAGACAUGCAAGUCGAACGCGAAAGUUCCCUUCGGGGGAUGAGUAGAGUGGCGCACGGGUGAGUAACACGUAGGUAAUCUACCUUCGGAUGGGGAAUAACAACCGGAAACGGUUGCUAAUACCGCAUAAUGCAGCGGCACCUAAUGGUGACAGUUGUUAAAGCGGGGAUCGAAAGACCUCGCGUCUGAAGAGGAGCCUGCGGCGGAUUAGCAGUUGGUAGGGUAACGGCCUACCAAGGCUACGAUCCGUAGCCGGCCUGAGAGGGCGGUCGGCCACACUGACACUGACAUACGGGUCAGACUCCUACGGGAGGCAGCAGUCGGGAAUUUUGGGCAAUGGGCGAAAGCCUGACCCAGCAACGCCGCGUGAAGGAUGAAAUCCCUC
Molecule: ribosomal RNA, 406 nt
Filed under: uncultured bacterium
Lineage: Bacteria
Description: bacterial SSU rRNA
Rfam family: Bacterial small subunit ribosomal RNA
Source: RNAcentral